This 404-nucleotide ribosomal RNA is filed under the name uncultured bacterium. RNAcentral's name for it is "bacterial SSU rRNA". It matches the Rfam family "Bacterial small subunit ribosomal RNA", at positions 29 to 423 of the family's 1533-position model. The record is from RNAcentral.
AACGAACGCUGGCGGCGCGCCUAAUACAUGCAAGUCGAGCGAGAAGACGUAGCAAUACGUUUGUAAAGCGGCGAACGGGUGAGGAAUACAUGGGUAACCUACCCUCGAGUGGGGAAUAACUAGCCGAAAGGUUAGCUAAUACCGCGUACGCUCCUUGGACUUCGGUUCAGGGAGGAAAGCGAUACCGUGGGUAUCGCGCUCUUGGAUGGGCUCAUGUCCUAUCAGCUUGUUGGUGAGGUAACGGCUCACCAAGGCUUCGACGGGUAGCUGGUCUGAGAGGACGAUCAGCCACACUGGCACUGCGACACGGGCCAGACUCCUACGGGAGGCAGCAGUAAGGAAUAUUGCGCAAUGGGCGAAAGCCUGACGCAGCAACGCCGCGUGAAGGAUGAAAUCCCUCGGGA